AAUAUCGUUUUCUAUAUUUUGUGGUAAAAUUACCCUGAACUGAAUAGUUAUUUACUUUCUUCAUUAUUAAAAUGAACCUUUUUUUUUUGUAAUUCUUCUUGCUUUUACAAGUUCAAAAUAAGAAAAUGGAAUUUCAAUUGAAAGUUUCAUUCAUGGAAUCGUCGCAAGUUCGGUCUGGCUUUUGGGUAAAAUGGACUUAUCGCUCUGGUUCUGCCGAUCCGAAGACCCUGUGGUUCUUGAUGGAUGGGAAAGCAUGCAAAGGAGAAAAGGGGGUUUGAAAUGUAAAGCUAGGUCUGGACAUUACUGUUGAAAGAGAUAUGCAGUGCUCAUAUACCUAGACGUUAGCAUAAUUAAGACUCACUUUACAUUACCAGAUCGAAAGCCUUGGGUAACUUUUGAAAUGCAAUAAUGGUAAACUGAAUCCAAUACCAGAAGUUCCACAAGAAACUUGAGACAAGUACUAACGGAAGAUUCUUUCGGGUAGCUUUAGAAAAGCGGACACAUUCUGCCAAGGGAGACACUAAACUGGCUUACAAGUCCGUAACAGAUAUUCAGUGAGCAGAAGGACUUCCUAUUCAUCACAAAAAGCAAACGAACAUUAGUCGAUUUUGUAGUAUCAGUUUGUUAAACGAUUCCUGUUUGUUUAUCCGUAGUAUAAGUUACUCAUGCAUGAAUUCGCUUAUGCUUUUUUAGAGAUGUAUUUAUUUCGUUAUUAUUCCAAAAGGUUCGAAUUUGGCAAAUAAACAGUCUGUGUAAUUAA
Photinus pyralis (common eastern firefly) is the source of this 760-nucleotide long non-coding RNA. RefSeq lists it as uncharacterized. NCBI's taxonomy places the organism in Eukaryota, Metazoa, Arthropoda, Insecta, Coleoptera, Lampyridae. The record is from RefSeq and is a predicted model, not a curated record. The transcript has 2 exons.